This 767-nucleotide ribosomal RNA is filed under the name uncultured bacterium. RNAcentral's name for it is "bacterial SSU rRNA". It matches the Rfam family "Bacterial small subunit ribosomal RNA", at positions 91 to 842 of the family's 1533-position model. The record is from RNAcentral.
GCGAGCGGCGGAUGGGUGAGUAACACGUGGGGAACCUGCCCCUAAGUCUGGGAUACCAUUUGGAAACAGGUGCUAAUACCGGAUAAUAAAGCAGAUCGCAUGAUCAGCUUUUGAAAGGCGGCGUAAGCUGUCGCUAAGGGAUGGCCCCGCGGUGCAUUAGCUAGUUGGUAAGGUAACGGCUUACCAAGGCGACGAUGCAUAGCCAAGUUGAGAGACUGAUCGGCCACAUUGGGACUGAGACACGGCCCAAACUCCUACGGGAGGCAGCAGUAGGGAAUCUUCCACAAUGGACGCAAGUCUGAUGGAGCAACGCCGCGUGAGUGAAGAAGGUUUUCGGAUCGUAAAGCUCUGUUGUUGGUGAAGAAGGAUAGAGGUAGUAACUGGCCUUUAUUUGACGGUAAUCAACCAGAAAGUCACGGCUAACUACGUGCCAGCAGCCGCGGUAAUACGUAGGUGGCAAGCGUUGUCCGGAUUUAUUGGGCGUAAAGCGAGCGCAGGCGGAAAAAUAAGUCUAAUGUGAAAGCCCUCGGCUUAACCGAGGAACUGCAUCGGAAACUGUUUUUCUUGAGUGCAGAAGAGGAGAGUGGAACUCCAUGUGUAGCGGUGGAAUGCGUAGAUAUAUGGAAGAACACCAGUGGCGAAGGCGGCUCUCUGGUCUGCAACUGACGCUGAGGCUCGAAAGCAUGGGUAGCGAACAGGAUUAGAUACCCUGGUAGUCCAUGCCGUAAACGAUGAGUGCUAAGUGUUGGGAGGUUUUCCGCCUCUCA